Molecule: ribosomal RNA, 446 nt
Filed under: uncultured bacterium
Lineage: Bacteria
Description: SSU rRNA
Rfam family: Bacterial small subunit ribosomal RNA
Source: RNAcentral
AGAGCGAACGCUGGCGGCAGGCCUAAUACAUGCAAGUCGAACGGAUCCUUCGGGAUUAGUGGCGGACGGGUGAGUAACACGUGGGAACGUACCCUUUGGUUCGGAACAACUCAGGGAAACUUGAGCUAAUACCGAAUGUGCCCUUCGGGGAAAAGAUUUAUCGCCAUUGGAGCGGCCCGCGUCUGAUUAGCUAGUUGGUAGGGUAAAGGCCUACCAAGGCUACGAUCAGUAGCUGGUCUGAGAGGAUGAUCAGCCACACUGGGACUGAGACACGGCCCAGACUCCUACGGGAGGCAGCAGUAGGGAAUCUUGCGCAAUGGGCGAAAGCCUGACGCAGCCAUGCCGCGUGAAUGAUGAAGGUCUUAGGAUUGUAAAAUUCUUUCAGCGGGGACGAUAAUGACGGUACCCGCAGAAGAACGCCCGGCUAACUUCGCGCCAGCAGCCGC